CAAUAGCGUAUAUUAAAUUUGUUGCAGUUAAAAGCUCGUAGUUGGAUUUCUAUCGAAAGGAUCUGGUAUUAACUCACUGAGAAGUAUCACGAUUUAUCGAUAUUUUGCUUCACGAUUUGGGGGUUCUAACGAAUUUUCAUUUAGAGGCAUUUUUACUUUGAGUAAAUUAGAGUGUUUCAAGCAAGCUAUUGCUCUGAAUACUGCAGCAUGGAAUAAUACUAUAUAACUUUGGUUAUUUAUUUGUUGGUUUGUUAACCAGAGUAAUGAUCAAGAGGAGCAGCUGGGGGCAUCCGUAUUCAACAGUCAGAGGUGAAAUUCUUAGAUUUGUUGAAGACGAACUAAUGCGAAAGCAUUUGCCAAAAAUGUUUUCAUUAGUCAAGAAACGAAAGUUAGGGGAUCGAAGAUGAUCAGAUACCAU
This 418-nucleotide ribosomal RNA is filed under the name uncultured eukaryote. RNAcentral describes it as "bacterial SSU rRNA". It matches the Rfam family "Eukaryotic small subunit ribosomal RNA", at positions 592 to 1018 of the family's 1831-position model. The record is from RNAcentral.